CCCACUAUCCGAUCGUAGAACUUUUAUCUCCUAUGAACGAAAUUGGUCCAUUUGAUUCCCAGACUCAUUCUCCACAUCCACUCGUUGAAUCACCCUCACCCGUCCAUAUUUCUAGUCUCCUAGCAUCCCCUCAUCAUUAAUCUCUUCACUCGGAUACAUCUUCACCAUGGACCUCAGAUUCUCAAAACACUGAAUCCCCAAAUCUUACAUCUGGAAAAUCUAAGGUUGGUCCUCAUCCCUCUCCAAAAUGAUCAAAUCUAUCAAUUCCCACAAACAUUCCCUCCUCUAAACAUGAAUUCUUUGAUCUUCCUCUGGCUCUGAUCGAUUUAUCUCAAGGCUCUCAACCUAUUCCCGAGGUCACCCUUACCCAAGUCAUGGAACGUCUCAAUUCUCUCACUCAGCUUACUACUCAGAUGUCUCAUGAUAUUGA
RNAcentral lists this long non-coding RNA (430 nucleotides) under Panax ginseng (ginseng). RNAcentral describes it as "long non-coding RNA (PGIN_LNC005131)". Lineage: Eukaryota; Viridiplantae; Streptophyta; Magnoliopsida; Apiales; Araliaceae. The record is from RNAcentral.